AUUGAACGCUGGCGGCAGGCCUAACACAUGCAAGUCGAACGGUAACAGGAAGAAGCUUGCUUCUUUGCUGACGAGUGGCGGACGGGUGAGUAAUGUCUGGGAAAUUGCCUGAUGGAGGGGGAUAACUACUGGAAACGGUAGCUAAUACCGCAAAACGUCGCAAGAACAAAAAUGGGGACCUUCGGGCCUCUUGCCAUCGGAUGUGCCCAGAUGGGAUUAGCUAGUAGGUGGGGUAACGGCUCACCUAGGCGACGAUCCCUGGCUGGUCUGAGAGGAUGACCGGCCACACUGGAACUGAGACACGGUCCAGACUCCUACGGGAGGCAGCAGUGGGGAAUAUUGCACAAUGGGCGCAAGCCUGAUGCAGCCAUGCCGCGUGUAUGAAGAAGGCCUUCGGGUUGUAAAGUACUUUCAGCGGGGAGGAAGGGAGUAAAGUUAAUACCUUUGCUCAUUGACGUUACCCGCAGAAGAAGCACCGGCUAACUCCGUG
This 490-nucleotide ribosomal RNA is filed under the name uncultured bacterium. Its description in RNAcentral is "partial 16S ribosomal RNA". It matches the Rfam family "Bacterial small subunit ribosomal RNA", at positions 30 to 507 of the family's 1533-position model. The record is from RNAcentral.